Neopelma chrysocephalum (saffron-crested tyrant-manakin) is the source of this 1389-nucleotide RNA transcript. It is a transcript of the gene named RNA-binding protein 4B-like, with no coding region annotated. Lineage: Eukaryota; Metazoa; Chordata; Aves; Passeriformes; Pipridae. The transcript has 4 exons. The record is from RefSeq and is a predicted model, not a curated record.
AGGGUCCCGGGGGGUCCCCUGACGGCGCUGUCCGGGCGCAGGCGGGUCGCGAUGGUGAAGCUGUUCAUCGGGAACCUGCCGCGGGAGGCGACGGAGCAGGAGAUCCGCUCCCUGUUCGAGCAGUACGGGAAGGUGCUGGAGUGCGACAUCAUCAAGAACUACGGCUUCGUGCACAUCGAGGACAAGACGGCGGCCGAGGACGCCAUCCGCAACCUGCACCACCACAAGCUGCACGGCGUCUGCAUCAACGUGGAGGCCAGCAAGAACAAGAGCAAGGCCUCCACCAAGCUGCACGUGGGCAACAUCAGCCCCGCCUGCACCAACCUGGAGCUGCGCGCCAAGUUCGAGGAGUACGGCCCCGUCAUCGAGUGCGACAUCGUCAAGGACUACGCCUUCGUGCACAUGGAGCGGGCGGAGGACGCGGUGGAGGCCAUCCGGGGGCUGGACAACACCGAGUUCCAGGGCAAGCGGAUGCGCGUGCAGCUGUCCACCAGCCGGCUGCGGACGGCGCCCGGGAUGGGAGACAAGAGCGGCUGCUACCGCUGCGGGAAGGAGGGGCACUGGUCUAAGGAGUGCCCGGUCGAUCGCCCGGGGCAAGUGGCGGACUUUGCCGAGGCCUAUAACGAGCAGUACGGGGCCGUGCGCGCUCCCUACGCCGCGGGCUACGGGGAGACCGUGUAUUACGAUGAGGCCUACGGCGGGAUGGCCGACUACUACAAGCGCUACCGCGUCCGCUCCUACGCCGCGGCCUCCGCGUACGACGCCUACGCGGAGCAGACCAUGGCCCAGUACUCCCAGUACGCCCAGUACUCCCAGGUCCAGUCCUCGGCCGUGGCCGCCGCCACCACGGCCAUGGCCGGCCGCCUCCCCGCCGCCCUCGACGCGUACGACCGAGCGCUGCUGCCGACCCCGGGCGCGGCGGCCGCCGUCGCCGCCGCCGCCACCGCCGCCGCGGCGGCCGCCUCCUCCACCUAUUACACCCGGGACAGGAGCCCCCUGCGCCGCACGGCCGCCGCGGCCAGCACCGUGGGAGAGGCGUACACGUACGAGCGCGGCCAGCUCUCGCCCGUCUCCUCGGUGGCCCGGGCCUCGCUCUACGACCUGCAGCGCUUCGAGCGGGACCCCUACGGGGAGCGGGCGCGCUAUUCCGCCUUCUGAGGAUGGCCGCGGAACCCCCGCCCCGGGACUCGCCCCCGUUGUCGCCGUGGCCUCGUGGCCCCCGGACGCCGACGCCGCGACAGGUGUGGCCCCGGACGGAUCCGUGUCCCCCCCGUCCCGCCUGAGCCCCCCCUUUUUGUAGGGCGCUCCCCCCCCGGCCCCUCCCGGGUGACCCCCGGCCUCGCCCGCCCGUUUUUCCAGCAAAAUAAACGUUUUCACCGAAUUUCGAAG